This 3283-nucleotide long non-coding RNA is filed under the name Salmo salar (Atlantic salmon). RNAcentral's name for it is "lncRNA (ENSSSAG00000093755.1)". The record is from RNAcentral. Lineage: Eukaryota; Metazoa; Chordata; Actinopteri; Salmoniformes; Salmonidae.
ACCCAAACCCCUAUCCCUUCUAGCCCAACCUUAGGGGUAACAACCUAAACCCCUAUCCCUUCUAGCCCAACCUUAGGGGUAACAACCUAAACCCCUAUCCCUUCUAGCCCAACCUUAGGGGUAACAACCUAAACCCUUAUCCCUUCUAGCCCAACCUUAGGGGUAACAACCUAAACCCCUAUCCCUUCUAGCCCAACCUUAGGGGUAACAACCUAAACCCCUAUCCCUUCUAGCCCAACCUUAGGGGUAACAACCUAAACCCCUAUCCCUUCCUCCCACACACUAAAGGAUCUAGUGCAUGCUUUAACUUGUUUAUGUCUUGUAUUAUGUUCUUUGUUUUUCACAUGUUACUCUAUCUCUUGUUAUUUUAAUGAUAUGCAUCUUUAUAGGCUUUUUUUGUUGUUUGUACAUUUGCACAUUCUUACGCUAUCCCAACUAUUUCCGUUACUUUUUGUAUUGACAUACGGUGCUAACAAAAAGAAAACAAAGAAAAAGAAAGAAAAAACAAAACAGAAGAAGAAGAGGAGUAAUGUAAAAGAGAAGGAGGAAGGUGUGGAUGUUGAGUUGGAUUAUACAUUCUAUAUAUAGAUAUAUAAACAAUAGAUGUGUAUAUAUACAAAUUUAAGUAUUCAUCAGCAUAUACUAAGUAGUUCCACUUUAUUUUCAAGCUUUAUUUUUUUAUUCUUUUUCAAUAUAUUUUCCAGAUAUUAUUUUCUUUUGAUAUUUCAUCAAUAAGUGUUUGUUUUUUUUCAUUCCUCAACCCCGAGACAACCUGUUCUGUUGUCAUAGGUCAAAGUUGAAACAGCUAGGUGACCUCAGGUCUAGAUAUCCCCAGCAGCAAAAACAAAGAGAUUAUGGCUUGAAUCCUAACUUGAGAUCUGCGUCCCGAAAUACAUUUUUCACAGUUCUGAUUUGAUUUUAAUGCACAGAUUUCAUGUUAGCGUUCAGCCCAUAUAGAGAAACAAGGAAACUAUAGCAUUUCUUCAUUCCCUCUGUUCUAGAACGGUUCUAGGACUUCUCCCCAAUGAUUUCAGAAUGGAUUGUGCAUCCUGUAUUCUAGAAGGUUAUUCCAGACUGUACAGUGUGAGCAGACCAGUUGAGGCAUCAUCCUGUAUUCCAGAAGGUUAUUCCAGACUGUACAGUGUGAGCAGACUAGUUGAGGCAUCAUCCUGUAUUCCAGAAGGUUAUUCCAGACUGUACAGUGUGAGCAGACCAGUUGAGGCAUCAUCCUGUAUUCUAUUCCAGUUGCCAAGUAUUGUUUCUGGUUACUUUUCCAUGAUCAUUGCCAACAGCUCUCUACUGCCAAACAUUUACAUUACCAUGUGCCUGAGGGGGGAGAGAGACUGUCAUACGGUUUCAUCAAAGAGGUGGGCAAACGUGUCAAGGGAACACGGGUCUCAUUGCGCCUCCAGUGUGUAUGUGUGGGAGUGUGUAUGUGUGUGACUGUGUAUGUGUGGGACUGUGUAUGUGUGGGACUGUGUAUGUGGGAGUGUGUAUGUGUGGGAGUGUGUAUGUGUGUGACUGUGUAUGUGGGAGUGUGUAUGUGUGGGACUGUGUAUGUGUGUGACUGUGUAUGUGUGGGACUGUGUAUGUGUGGGAGUGUGUAUGUGUGGGAGUGUGUAUGUGUGGGAGUGUGUAUGUGUGGGAGUGUGUAUGUGUGGGACUGUGUAUGUGUGGGACUGUGUAUGUGUGGGAGUGUGUAUGUGUGGGAGUGUCGAUGGUAUGUUUUGUUUUUGUGCAUGUGUUUGUCUUAAAGGGUGUAUCUCCAGAGAUUACAUCUACAAACUUUGAUUGCCUUGCGUUGUAGACUACAGCAUUCCAGUACAGUCUGUGUGAGUGUGUUGCUUCUUAGCCAAGUCUUUCUGCAGUAUCUGAGCUUUUCAGCUUCUUGUGUUAUUAUUCAGCCUUCUCUGUUACAGUCCUCCAUAGUGUUAUAAUAUACGGCUGUCUCAAAUGACACCCUAUUUUUGUAUACGGGGAAUAGUGACAUUUUAGAUGAAAUCUGUGUUCUAAAUGACACCCUAUUCCAUAAAGUGCACUACCUAUGGGCCCUGGUCAACAGUGGUGCACUGUAUAGGGAAUGCCAUUUGGGAUGCAGAUAGUGUCAUAGCCUCCUGUUUUACAGAAGCAGUCUGAUGUACUGUCAAAUUGUGUCAAGGUAAGCAUGUUCUGGCCUAUUUGUGAUACCUUGCCUUCAGAGUACAGCAGAGUGGUGUAGUGUCAAAAAGUGGUGCCCGUUGGCAAAAUGUACCCCUUUCCAGGCCCGAAAACAUUUCUAACCUGUUCUGUGAUAAUGGUCUGAGUCUGAAGGUACCCCAACACAUACGCUUGACUGUUGCCAUAACAACCCUUGACAUGGGUGUGGCAAAGUGCACCUGUAUUCACAAGGCGUCUCAGAGUAAGUGCCUCGCGAAAAACAGAAGCCUUUGAAACCAUAAUGAAUACGAGCGGGGACCUGAUCCUAGAACACCACUCCUACUGAGACGCUAUGUGAAAGAGGAAGGUAGCAUUGUUGUGGUAGUAUUUUCGUUUGUGGCUGUACAGAACGCGUUCCGGAUUGCCUGUGCCGGGUUUUCCGUACCUGGAAGCCUUGGCUCCAGCGCAUUUUGCCGAGGGAUCAGAGAGGGAGUUCGACAGAGACCAGAGUUCGCCAGGUUGGGAUCUGUCAAACACUUAUAAACCUGUCCUCUCCCCGCAGAGAUGCAGGUCACUAUGGUUACAGUUUAAAUACACAGUUUAACAGGGAGCCUGACAGUAUUACACAGCGGGGAUGUGAGGAGUACAGUACAAGCGUGUGUGAGGGGGACUAUUCAGAUAUACUGUGUACAGUGAAUGUAUUGUAAUGUGUGUCAAGUGUGUUUAAAUUAUAUUUUCAUAUGUUAAGUGGAGAACAAUGUUUCCUAUUUGUACGGAGGCAACAGAGGGUGUGAGGAGGGAGACCUGUGUACUUUAUCAAACUGUUUUUACAUAAGCUGCUGCUUCAUAAAUGUGAACACUAUUACAUGAAAAAAUAAAGACAACAUUAGCCAGAACUGUCUGAAUGGGGUUGGGGGGGGUUUGACCCAGAAGAUGGAAAGACAAUUGUAUCCAUUUGACAAGCGUACUUUAUUUGUAAUGCUCACAUACAAACCUACACACACACUUUCAAAGGGCCGACACACAUGACAGACACACGUGUGCAACUUUUGAAGCCAAAAGUACAGCACUGUGGUCACAUUGAAAGAACAGUAAAAUCUCAGACUGACAGGAAUCAGAGACGCGCGCACAAGAAUUUACUUUGACC